This is a transfer RNA of Cavia porcellus (domestic guinea pig), 71 nucleotides long. It matches the Rfam family "tRNA". Rfam says of the family: Transfer RNA (tRNA) molecules are approximately 80 nucleotides in length. The record is from Rfam. Lineage: Eukaryota; Metazoa; Chordata; Mammalia; Rodentia; Caviidae.
GGGGAUUUAGCUCAGCGGCAUAAGCACCUGCCUUGCAAGCAGGUGGUCGUGAGUUCGAUUCUCAGUACCGA